This 1047-nucleotide long non-coding RNA is filed under the name Spirodela polyrhiza (greater duckweed). RNAcentral describes it as "long non-coding RNA (SPOL_LNC000717)". The record is from RNAcentral. Lineage: Eukaryota; Viridiplantae; Streptophyta; Magnoliopsida; Alismatales; Araceae.
UUGUGGCGGAGGUGAUCUUGAUUAGUAUAGCAUCUGAAGAUGCUGCCGAGAGCUCCUGCGGCAUGACUGUCUGAAAAAAUGGGUCAACUUGGUCUCUGAGCAAACGAAUCCACUCCCCAUGUGCAACAAUAUUAAUUCAAUAAUUUGACCAUAAUUAUUCCUAAAUGGGUCCGAACAUCACUCAGCCUCUUCUUUCCGACGAGAACUGGUCGAUCAUCCUGGGUUGACAUCAAUCGAUCGGCCAAUGUGUGGGUCAGGAUCAGAUCGGAUUGGCUGACCUAAUUGAAGUCCAGGCUUACCCGUUGAGAAAUGGGGAUCUAAUUGGGUCAACAACUGAUGUGGGUCCCUGGACUGUAGCUAACUGAUGUUAGUCCACAACUGAACAAGUGGGUUGACUUUUCUUUGCAUGCAAGUCAUCUUGGAGAAUGUAUCGGGUCCAUCGUCCAAUACAUAUGUCUCAAGGUCGAUGAACAGCAACCUUCAAUAAGUGACUUAGUCUUCACAGAAAGACUUGAUGGAAUGACAGUCCCCACGUGCCAAAAAUUAAAAGACAAUAUCUUAUAAUUUGGGCCUGACCCACCAGCCUAGCUAACCCACAUGAAUAUCUAGAGAGAGAGAGAGAGAGAGAGUAAGAAGCCUAGCGCGGACACCAAAAUGCACUCUAUAUAGGUAACCUUGGGGAAAUUGAAUCGUCGUCGUCUGUCCCACGUGGUAGGGGCACGUGGCAUGACUACGACGUGGUAACGACCAUCCGCACUAGAGGCAGAGAGACCGAUAAAGUCGAGUCGAUGGGUAUAUAAACAAUAAAAUUCAUAAUGGGAGUUAUAUGUAUAGAAAAAGUAUCAACGAGGGUAGGCAUGAAAAAAUACAUACCGAUAUAAGCCGCCUGGUGAGAAUCCGCCCCGGGCGGGGGGGACUGAGCCGGUGGGUCGUGGAUAUCUCUCGCCCUCGUCGUCCUCCACCUUCUGGCUGUUGACUUGGAGGAGCAGAUCAGGGGAGAGUUCCAGAGGCGGAGAGGGAAGGGAGGAGAGAGGAGGGGGAGUAAUG